This is a long non-coding RNA of Oncorhynchus keta (chum salmon), 770 nucleotides long. RefSeq lists it as uncharacterized. The transcript has 4 exons. The record is from RefSeq and is a predicted model, not a curated record. Lineage: Eukaryota; Metazoa; Chordata; Actinopteri; Salmoniformes; Salmonidae.
CUGUCUAGGCUCCAGGUGUUCUAGUGUCUGUUACUCUGUCUAGGCUGCAGGUGUUCUAGUGUCUGUUACUCUGUCUAGGCUCCAGGUGUUCUAGUGUCUGUUACUCUGUCUAGGUUCCAGGUGUUCUAGUGUCUGUUACUCUGUCUAGGUUCCAGGUGUUCUAGUGUCUGUUACUCUGUCUAGGCUGCAGGUGUUCUAGUGUCUGUUACUCUGUCUAGGCUCCAGGUGUUCUAGUGUCUGUUACUCUGUCUAGGUUCCAGGUGUUCUAGUGUCUGUUACUCUGUCUAGGCUGCAGGUGUUCUAGUGUCUGUUACUCUGUCUAGGUUCCAGGUGUUCUAGUGUCUGUUACUCUGUCUAGGCUGCAGGUGUUCUAGUGUCUGUUACUCUGUCUAGGUUCCAGGUGUUCUAGUGUCUGUUACUCUGUCUAGUCUCCAGGUGUUCUAGUGUCUGUUACUCUGUCUAGGUUCCAGGUGUUCUAGUGUCUGUUACUCUGUCUAGGCUCCAGGUGUUCUAGUGUCUGUUACUCUGUCUAGGCUCCAGGUGUUCUAGUGUCUGUUACUCUGUCUAGGCUCCAGGUGUUCUAGUGUCUGUUACUCUGUCUAGGCUCCAGGUGUUCUAGUGUCUGUUACUCUGUCUAGGCUCCAGGUGUUCUAGUGUCUGUUACUCUGUCUAGGCUCCAGGUGUUCUAGUGUCUGUUACUCUGUCUAGGCUCCAGGUGUUCUAGUGUCUGUUACUCUGUCUAGGCUCCAGGUGUUCUAGUGUCUGUUACU